Molecule: RNA transcript, 2644 nt
Organism: Gopherus evgoodei (Goodes thornscrub tortoise)
Lineage: Eukaryota; Metazoa; Chordata; Testudines; Testudinidae
Gene name: cryptochrome-1-like
Exons: 13
Source: RefSeq, a predicted model, not a curated record
CGCCGGCGAAAGCAGGAAGCGAGGCCGGCUCUGGUAGAGACGCCGGGGCAGCGGAGCGAGGAAGAUCUCAAGUAAAUGCCCAACAUGCCUCACCGGACCAUUCAUCUCUUCCGGAAGGGACUUCGGCUCCAUGACAACCCAACUCUGCUGGCUGCACUGGAGUCCUCAGAGGUUGUGUAUCCAGUCUACAUUCUGGAUAGAAAGUUCCUGAUGUCUGCAAUGAAUAUGGGAACUCUACGCUGGCACUUCCUGCUGCAGUCCCUCGAGGAUCUGCAGAGGAACCUAACUAAACUGGGCUCUUGCUUACUGGUUAUUCAAGGAGAGUAUAAGUUGGUUCUUCGAGACCAUAUUAAAAAGUGGAACAUUAACCAGGUGACUCUAGAUGCUGAGAUUGAACCAUUUUACAAAGAGAUGGAGAGGACCAUACAAGUUCUGGGCAGAGAGAUGGGAUUUGAUGUGCUUUCUUUGAGGGGGCACACGCUUUAUGACAUCAGACGGAUCUUGGACAUGAAUGGUGGGACUCCCCCCUUGACAUACAAAAGAUUUCUUCAUAUCCUCUCUGUACUCGGGGACCCUGACAUGCCUGUACGAAACCUUACAACUGAGGAUUUCCAGAGAUGUAAGCCUGCCCCUGAGCUGCACCUGGCUGAAUGUUACAGGGUGCCCCUUCCUGAGGAUUUGGAAAUCUCCCGAGACAGCCAGUCCCCGUGGAGAGGGGGAGAAACUGAAGGACUGCAGCGACUAGAGCAACACUUGAAAAAUCAGGGCUGGAUAGCAAAUUUUACUAAACCAAAAACAAUUCCAAAUUCUCUGCUUCCAAGUACUACAGGACUGAGUCCCUAUUUCAGCUUGGGUUGUUUGUCAGUUCGGAGUUUUUUUUAUAGACUAUCAAACAUUUAUGCUCAGUCAAAAAACCACUCUCUGCCACCUGUGUCACUUCAAGGACAGCUUCUGUGGAGAGAAUUCUUCUAUACAGUGGCAUCAGCAACACCAAACUUUACCAAAAUGGCGGGAAACCCCAUUUGCCUUCAGAUCAACUGGUACCAAGAUGCAGAGAGACUCCACAAGUGGAGAAUGGCUCAGACAGGGUUUCCAUGGAUUGAUGCUAUCAUGACGCAGCUUCAUCAGGAAGGUUGGAUUCACCACCUUGCUCGACAUGCUGUUGCCUGCUUCCUAACUCGAGGAGACCUCUGGAUCAGCUGGGAAGAGGGCAUGAAGGUGUUUGAAGAGAUGCUGUUAGAUGCAGACUACAGCAUCAAUGCAGGAAACUGGAUGUGGCUGUCAGCCAGUGCUUUCUUCCAUCAGUACACACGCAUUUUCUGCCCGGUGCGCUUUGGCAAACGCACAGAUCCAGAAGGGCAAUAUAUCCGAAAAUACCUCCCAGUGCUAACGAAUUUUCCUUCCAAGUACAUCUACGAACCUUGGACAGCACCAGAAGAGGCACAGAAGCAGGCAGGAUGUAUUAUAGGUCAAGAUUAUCCACUCCCUAUGCUAAACCACAAGGAAGCCAGUGACCAUAAUCUGCAACUCAUGAAACAGGUCAGAGAAGAACAGUAUGGAACAGCACAGCUCACAAGAGAUGACGUGGAUGAUCCAAUGGAAAUGGGGCUAAAGCGUGAACGCCCUGAAGAAAAUUCAAAACAAGGAAAACGUGCCAGGAACAGAGAACAGACAUAGAUUCUUUUCUGACUUAUGCAAGAGUCCACAGAACAAUCCACCAUCAUGCAUGGUGUCCUCUGGGACAACUCCUUGAGGGACUGGUGGGAAGGGCAACUCCAGCGCAGUCUGGCAUCUCCAAAUUCCUUCAUCCCAAAGAGCCCAUGAACCUAGUACGAAAAUGGCAUGAAUCAUGACAAUCAACAGGCCAUGGAGAGAGGACCAUUUGGCUGAGGAGGAUGAGCCCAUUCUGCCUGGGAACCAGGAGCAGCAGCCCAAGGACAGUAGGAGCAGAGGGAGUACACUUGAGGACCUGCUCAUUGGCAUUGCCAGGAGUCAGAAGCAAUUUGACUUUAUGAGAGGAAGGGAGGAAUGGGCUGCUGAGUGGGAGGAACAUUUUCACCAGAGGCAGGAGUCAAUAAUGGAGCAGGACACUCGGUAAAGGGAACAGGAGCUUUAUCAAAGGGACCGGAAGCAUGUCCUGUUGCAGACCCAGGUACAAGUGGUAGUGGAAAGGAUUCAGUCCUGCCUGCCACAAUAGCCACUGCCAAUGUCUGGGAACUGGCACCUCCUCCUCAUCCACCAUAUAUUCCUCCUCCAGCAACUGCAGCGCAGGGUACUGCUGAGAUGGAGGAUUCAAACCCCACCCCCAGUGACAAGACAGGGGCUGCAGGACUCCAGGCACAGCAGCCUGCACUGGCACCCAGAGCCCCUACUAGGAGAAGCCCUGUGACCAUGUAGGAGGGGAACAAUGAGCCUGACUGAGACUGCGCCUGAAGGCUGUUGUGUGUCUCACUCCCAAACCACAUGCAAGAGAUGCCUCCUGUUUGUCCCCCUGGACUCAAUAGCGUAGUUGGGGGGGGAGCAGGGGAGCGGCCACUCCCUACUGAGCACAUUCCCCAAAAGUGGCACGUUUUUAAUUUUUACACACACCGCAGCAGUCCGGGUCUUCGGCGGCAAUUUGGCAGCAGAUCCUUCAGCUGCUCCA